RNAcentral lists this small nucleolar RNA (87 nucleotides) under Thermothelomyces thermophilus ATCC 42464. Its description in RNAcentral is "Myceliophthora thermophila ATCC 42464 A. fumigatus snoRNA Afu_513". It matches the Rfam family "A. fumigatus snoRNA Afu_513". Lineage: Eukaryota; Fungi; Ascomycota; Sordariomycetes; Sordariales; Chaetomiaceae. The record is from Rfam by way of RNAcentral.
UUCUAUGAUGAAGCGGCACUGGGCUCCGAAUACCCAUGAGCAGACAUGCCACUUUGCGACAGGCCUAGAAAACCUCGUCCACUGAUC